GUGGAAGAGAGGCAGUUUUUGCAAUGAAAUACACCACUGUGUACAGGGGCUGGCGGGCCACAAUAAUAUAAACAGCACAGGGCCCUGUACAAAAACCCAGAGAAGGUAAAAAGGCAAUAUAUUUUGGGAAGGAAAAGAGGUGAGUGACUGUGAUAAUUAAAGAGACAAAUAGAAUAAUCUUUUUAUAUUUCUGUUUAUCCUGGAAAGAGAACUCACAAGGUUUCUAAAAGAUUGAAGAAAGGGUGAACUUGGAAGUUCUGUACUUGAUCAAGCUAUUUGAAAUCACUGAACUGUUUAAUUGUUGUUUUUCCUUUUCCAAAUUUGGAAGACACCCUCUGGACACCCUCAAGGAGUUGCAUACAUGGAUAAUUAGGACAAAUGUAUGGCUCUUCAUCUCCUGUUUUUACAACCUUUUUGAAUAUCAUGUGGAAAGAGUGAUUUAUUGCAAUGAGUAUUAGCAGUGUGAGGAUGAUAAGCUUGUAUUUGGACCAGGGACCACCGUCACAGUUGUACCAAGCAGUCCAAAACAUUCUGUCCCACAAGUCGUUGUGAUGAAAUCAAAGAAACUGGAAGAAGGAGGCAGCACUGGGAAAGCAGCUUGUUUGGCAAGGAAUUUCAGUACAAAGAACAUCAGCUUGGAGAUGUCCUCUGAUGAGGUCGUGUAUGAACAGAGCACACCCAUUCUGGCGUCAGAGGGGCUGUACAGUGCUAUGAAGGUGGUCAGUGUGACAAAAGACACAGAGGUGACCUGCAAGGCCCAUUUGGACAUUGGCACCAUUACAGCAUUGUCAGAAAAGGAGGCUGACGAACCCGUAACGAGGACCAGUAACAGGGUUUGCAACAGCACAGACACCUCUGCCCAAGGUACCACAGUGCAGAGAGUGAACAUGCUGUCUGUGGCUGUGCUGGGUUUGAGAGUCCUGCUGGCAAAAAGCAUCGCCUUCAAUACACUCAUGAGUAUCAAGCUGUUUCUUUUCUGAGACAUGUGGAGUCAAGGCAAGAGGAACCUGAAGAACUGCAGGAAAGAACGUGAACCAGCAGCACAACGGGCUGGACAAGCAGUGUCACAUCUGCUGACAGUGAGCACCCAGAACACAACACAGCCCCUUCCCCUUUAGACAUUUGAUGCUGUUCAAUCCUGCCCAGCCAGUUCAUUUAGAUUUAAGAGCUGUAACUGCUUUUGCUAUUUCUUUUUCUCUGUGCACUGAGGAGAGUGCAUUUCUCCUCAUCCUCCUGCUGAGUAGAUCUCCCCACUGUUCUGGCAUUUACACAGGAAUGUCCAACCUGCCUCAAUAGUUGUAGAAAAGCCCAAUCCUCACUAUCGAUACAUAUAGAUAUAUAGAGAGCUAUAUAAUGUUUUAAAUCAGGUUUCACAGGCAUGUUGUGUUACUGUCUGUAGAACUGGUGUGUUACUGCAGAGACAAUUCAGGCACAAUAGUUGCCAUUUAUAGCUUUGGUUUUUAGACAGCUUUAUUAACAAUAAUUUCCUAUCAUGCCUGAGCAGUGAUCCAAUUCAAACAGAUAAUGUUCAACCAUAGAAACAUUUCUUUCUUAAACCUGUAUUUCUUCUGCAAAAUAUAUCCCACAUGCAUUUUAGUUUCCUGUAGUAGUGACAAAAAUAAAAUUUUCCUUGACCAAAAUGCUGUGGUUUGU
Molecule: long non-coding RNA, 1653 nt
Filed under: Manacus vitellinus (golden-collared manakin)
Lineage: Eukaryota; Metazoa; Chordata; Aves; Passeriformes; Pipridae
Description: lncRNA (ENSMVIG00005009676.1)
Source: RNAcentral